CUCCUACGGGAGGCAGCAGUGGGGAAUAUUGGGCAAUGGGCGCAAGCCUGACCCAGCAACGCCGCGUGAAGGAAGAAGGCUUUCGGGUUGUAAACUUCUUUUCUCAGGGACGAAGAAAGUGACGGUACCUGAGGAAUAAGCCACGGCUAACUACGUGCCAGCAGCCGCGGUAAUACGUAGGUGGCAAGCGUUAUCCGGAUUUAUUGGGUGUAAAGGGCGUGUAGGCGGGAGCGCAAGUCAGAUGUGAAAACUCAGGGCUCAA
RNAcentral lists this ribosomal RNA (262 nucleotides) under uncultured bacterium. Its description in RNAcentral is "partial 16S ribosomal RNA". It matches the Rfam family "Bacterial small subunit ribosomal RNA", at positions 336 to 612 of the family's 1533-position model. The record is from RNAcentral.